ACUUAGUGAUCCGGUGGUUCUGCGUGGAAGGGCCAUCGCUCAACGGAUAAAAGCUACCCUGGGGAUAACAGGCUUAUCUCCCCCAAGAGUCCACAUCGACGGGGAGGUUUGGCACCUCGAUGUCGGCUCAUCACAUCCUGGGGCUGUAGUAGGUCCCAAGGGUUGGGCUGUUCGCCCAUUAAAGUGGUACGCGGGCUGGGUUCAGAACGUCGUGAGACAGUUCGGUCCCUAUCCGUCGCAGGCGUAGGAAAUUUGAGAAGACCUGUCCUUAGUACGAGAGGACCGGGAUGGACGUACCUCUGGUGUACCAGUUGUCCUGCCAAGGGCAUGGCUGGGUAGCUAUGUACGGAAUGGAUAAGCGCUGAAAGCAUCUAAGCGCGAAGCCAACUUCAAGAUAAGAUUUCCCACCGCAAGGGUAAGACCCCAGAAAGACUAUCUGGUUG
Molecule: ribosomal RNA, 443 nt
Filed under: Clostridioides difficile
Lineage: Bacteria; Bacillati; Bacillota; Clostridia; Peptostreptococcales; Peptostreptococcaceae
Description: partial 23S ribosomal RNA
Rfam family: Bacterial large subunit ribosomal RNA
Source: RNAcentral